UAAGACGAACCGUGCGAACGUUGUUCGGAAUCACUGGGCUUAAAGGGCGCGUAGGCGGUUUGCCAAGUCGGGGUUGAAAUCUUUCGGCUUAACCGGAAAAGUGGCUUCGAUACUGGCAGACUGGAGGGAGGUAGGGGCAGAUGGAACUUCCGGUGGAGCGGUGAAAUGAGUUGAUAUCGGAAGGAACGCCGGUGGCGAAAGCGAUCUGCUGGACCUCUUCUGACGCUGAGGCGCGAAAGCCAGGGGAGCAAACGGGA
RNAcentral lists this ribosomal RNA (257 nucleotides) under uncultured prokaryote. RNAcentral describes it as "partial 16S ribosomal RNA". It matches the Rfam family "Bacterial small subunit ribosomal RNA", at positions 521 to 777 of the family's 1533-position model. The record is from RNAcentral.